UCUGAAGCUUCCAUGAGCAGCCCAUGGUAUGAUAAUAAAACAAGGUUGCCAUUUUGUUGAGAUUUGUUAGUCCAGUAAGCAAACUUCAGUUUGGGUCUGCACCAUGAUUUCUAAAAGUGAGUUUUAAGAUAUAUUUGAUGUGGACUGCUUCAUAGCAUCAUUGAGAGGACGUUUGAAUGCGGAAAGAGUUGACUCCAUUCUGCCCGUCAGUUGAAGGAGCACGGGUGCCCGGGACGACGACAACGACAAGCCAAAGGAGACACCGUGGAUUCGUUGCCCGCUUCCGCUGCUGCUCGUGCAGACUCUGCACCAACCCGGCCUUGAACUACCCCAUCUUAUAUACACAACGCCCCCAAUUUUUAGCCACCAAGGCCAUGGACUGGGACCUGUGUGUUCAUUUGAAGUGUUGGUUUGAGAGAUUUUUGUGCCCUGACAAUGAGUGAGGCACUUGUGAUAUUGCAAGUCCUGAUACAAGGCAUGUCCUCUUUUAUCCAUAAACUUUGCAAUGUCCAUCUAUUGUACU
Molecule: long non-coding RNA, 523 nt
Organism: Triticum urartu
Lineage: Eukaryota; Viridiplantae; Streptophyta; Magnoliopsida; Poales; Poaceae
Source: RefSeq, a predicted model, not a curated record